This 232-nucleotide ribosomal RNA is filed under the name uncultured bacterium. RNAcentral describes it as "partial 16S ribosomal RNA". It matches the Rfam family "Bacterial small subunit ribosomal RNA", at positions 545 to 776 of the family's 1533-position model. The record is from RNAcentral.
UCGGAAUUACUGGGCGUAAAGCGUGUGUAGGCGGCCAUAUAAGUCGGAUGUGAAGGCCCUGGGCUCAACCCAGGAAGUGCACUCGAUACUGUAUGGCUCGAGUAUCGGAGAGGUUGGUGGAAUUCUCGGUGUAGAGGUGAAAUUCGUAGAUAUCGAGAGGAACACCGGUGGCGAAGGCGGCCAACUGGACGAAUACUGACGCUGAGACACGAAAGCGUGGGGAGCAAACAGG